CUUCCUACGGGGCGCAGCAGUGGGGAAUAUUGCACAAUGGGGGAAACCCUGAUGCAGCAACGCCGCGUGAAGGAAGACGGUUUUCGGAUUGUAAACUUCUGUUCUUAGUGAAGAAAAAUGACGGUAGCUAAGGAGCAAGCCACGGCUAACUACGUGCCAGCAGCCGCGGUAAUACGUAGGUGGCAAGCGUUGUCCGGAAUUACUGGGUGUAACGGUAGCGCAGGCGGGAAGCCAAGUCCGCUGUGACAACUACGGGCUUAACUUGUAGACUGCAGUUGAAACUGGUUUUCUUGUGUG
RNAcentral lists this ribosomal RNA (297 nucleotides) under uncultured bacterium. RNAcentral describes it as "partial 16S ribosomal RNA". It matches the Rfam family "Bacterial small subunit ribosomal RNA", at positions 335 to 648 of the family's 1533-position model. The record is from RNAcentral.